UACGGGGGGGGCAAGCGUUGUUCGGAAUUACUGGGCGUAAAGGGCUCGUAGGCGGCCAACUAAGUUAGAGGUGAAAGCCCAGGGCUCAACCCUGGAAUUGCCUUUAAGACUGCAUCGCUUGAACAUCGGAGAGGUAAGUGGAAUUCCGAGUGUAGAGGUGAAAUUCGUAGAUAUUCGGAAGAACACCAGUGGCGAAGGCGACUUACUGGACGAUUGUUGACGCUGAGGUGCGAAAGCGUGGGGAGCAAACAGG
This 253-nucleotide ribosomal RNA is filed under the name uncultured bacterium. RNAcentral describes it as "partial 16S ribosomal RNA". It matches the Rfam family "Bacterial small subunit ribosomal RNA", at positions 524 to 776 of the family's 1533-position model. The record is from RNAcentral.